GGCAGAGUAGCUCAGUUGGUUAGAGCACCGGCUUCAUAAGCCGGGUGUCGGCGGUUCAAGUCCGCCCUCUGCUACAA
This 77-nucleotide transfer RNA is filed under the name Fidelibacterota bacterium CG1_02_48_14. Its description in RNAcentral is "Candidatus Marinimicrobia bacterium CG1_02_48_14 tRNA-Met". It matches the Rfam family "tRNA". Rfam says of the family: Transfer RNA (tRNA) molecules are approximately 80 nucleotides in length. The record is from RNAcentral. RNAcentral also lists the same sequence under 2 other names. Lineage: Bacteria; Pseudomonadati; Fidelibacterota.